This 253-nucleotide ribosomal RNA is filed under the name uncultured bacterium. RNAcentral describes it as "partial 16S ribosomal RNA". It matches the Rfam family "Bacterial small subunit ribosomal RNA", at positions 524 to 776 of the family's 1533-position model. The record is from RNAcentral.
UACGUAGGGUGCAAGCGUUAAUCGGAAUUACUGGGCGUAAAGCGUGCGCAGGCGGUUAUAUAAGACAGAUGUGAAAUCCCCGGGCUCAACCUGGGAACUGCAUUUGUGACUGUAGAGCUGGAGUACGGCAGAGGGGGAUGGAAUUCCGCGUGUAGCAGUGAAAUGCGUAGAUAUGCGGAGGAACACCGAUGGCGAAGGCAAUCCCCUGGGCCUGUACUGACGCUCAUGCACGAAAGCGUGGGGAGCAAACAGG